RNAcentral lists this transfer RNA (73 nucleotides) under Bos taurus (domestic cattle). It matches the Rfam family "tRNA". Rfam says of the family: Transfer RNA (tRNA) molecules are approximately 80 nucleotides in length. Their secondary structure includes four short double-helical elements and three loops (D, anti-codon, and T loops). Further hydrogen bonds mediate the characteristic L-shaped molecular structure. tRNAs have two regions of fundamental functional importance: the anti-codon, which is responsible for specific mRNA codon recognition, and the 3' end, to which the tRNAs corresponding amino acid is attached (by aminoacyl-tRNA synthetases). tRNAs cope with the degeneracy of the genetic code in two manners: having more than one tRNA (with a specific anti-codon) for a particular amino acid; and 'wobble' base-pairing, i.e. permitting non-standard base-pairing at the 3rd anti-codon position. Lineage: Eukaryota; Metazoa; Chordata; Mammalia; Artiodactyla; Bovidae. The record is from Rfam by way of RNAcentral. RNAcentral also lists the same sequence under 4 other names.
UCCCUGGCAGUCCAGCGGUUCAGACUCUGUGCUUUCAAUGCAGAAAGCACAGGUUCAAUCCCUGGUCGGGGAG